Molecule: long non-coding RNA, 1170 nt
Filed under: Parus major (Great Tit)
Lineage: Eukaryota; Metazoa; Chordata; Aves; Passeriformes; Paridae
Description: lncRNA (ENSPMJG00000002566.1)
Source: RNAcentral
CCCGGAUCUCCAGGCUCCCGCAGCUCUCCAGGCCGGGCCGUGCCCCGUCCCGCCCCCGCUCCUUUGUGCUCCCGUCCUGCCCUUUCCGCCGGGCCCGGCCGGGUUUCCGCGGGGCCGGGCCCGGACAAAGCCCCGGGGAGCGCGGCCCCUUCCCUUCCCCGGCCGAGCCGCGCCCGGAGCCGCGGGGACCCGCUGGGAUCUGCUGGGAGCCUCGGGGGGAUGCUGGGACCCGCUGGGAUCUGCUGGGAGCCACGGGGAUCCUCUGGGACCCGCUGGGAUCUGCUAGGAUCUGCUGGGAUCCUCUGGGAUCCCCGGGGGGAUGCUGGGAUCUGCUGGGAACCACUGGGAGCCACUGGGAUCCUCUGGGAUCCUCGGGGGGAUGCUGGGAUCUGCUGGGAUCCUCUGGGAGCCACUGGGAUCCUCUGGGGGACGCUGGGAUCUGCUGGGAUCCUCUGGGAUCCUCGGGGGGAUACUGGGAUCUGCUGGGAUCCUCUGGGAGCCACUGGGAUCCUCUGGGAUCCUCUGGGGGACGCUGGGAUCUGCUGGGACCCGCUGGGAUCCUCGGGGGGAUGCUGGGAUCUGCUGGGAUCCUCUGGGAGCCACUGGGAUCCUCUGGGAUCAUCGGGGGACACUGGGAUCUGCUGGGACCCGCUGGGAUCCACUGGGAUCCUCUGGGACCCGCGGGGACCCGCUGGGAUCCUCUGGGGGUCUGCUGGGAUCCUCUUGGAGCCACUGGGAUCCUCUGGGAGGCACCGGGAACUGCUGGGAUCCUCUGGGAGCCGCUGGGAUCCUCUGGGAUCCGCUGGGAUCUGCUGGGAUCUGUGGGACCUUUGGGGAUCCGUCGGGACACAGAUCCCUGUGGGAUCUGCUGGGGAUCACUGGGAUCCACCCAGACCCUCACAGGGAGCAGCAAUUCCUUCCCAAUGUCCAAUAAAUUCCAGUUCCUGCUUACACCAGCACACACAGCCCUGCUGGUGCCCAGCAGGAGCAGCAGAGCCUCCUUCUCCUGCAGGGAAGGAGCGAUCCCAGGGAUGGGAAUGGAAUGACUUUGGAGGGAAUCAGCUUCAGGAGAAAGAAGGAGCUGCUCCCAGGUCUCCAAAAUCUCAUGGAUGGUUUGUAGGACCAGAGCCUGAUGGGAUUCAUGGGUGGGCAAUUGAGCCGAGAACCUGG